GAUGAACGCUAGCGGCAGGCUUAAUACAUGCAAGUCGUGGGGCAGCAUGAGUAGCAAUACUUGAUGGCGACCGGCAAACGGGUGAGGAACACGUACACAACCUUCCUUCAAGCGGGGAAUAGCCCAGAGAAAUUUGGAUUAAUACCCCAUAAUAUAUUUGAUAAGGCAUCUUAUUAAAUAUUAAAGCUUCGGCACUUGAUGAUGGGUGUGCGGCUGAUUAGAUAGUUGGCGGGGUAACGGCCCACCAAGUCUACGAUCAGUAGCUGAUGUGAGAGCAUGAUCAGCCACACGGGCACUGAGACACGGGCCCGACUCCUACGGGAGGCAGCAGUAAGGAAUAUUGGACAAUGGACG
RNAcentral lists this ribosomal RNA (354 nucleotides) under uncultured bacterium. RNAcentral describes it as "bacterial SSU rRNA". It matches the Rfam family "Bacterial small subunit ribosomal RNA", at positions 28 to 377 of the family's 1533-position model. The record is from RNAcentral.